CAGCCUCACAAAACCCGUGAUGGUGUCUCCAGUGUUUAAAAGGCAUUGAACGACAGCAGAUCACAAUGGUUAUUGUACUGAAAUACAUGUAUUUAUUAAAAAUGGGUAAAUAAUAUAUACAAACACACCAAUUUGUUUUUCCAGAACCUAAAAAUGAUUUCAUCUUCGAUUCACAUAAAGCGUUUAACAAAUGUUUCUCCUUCAGGAAAAUGAGCAGCAAUAUGUACAUGGAUGGAGCCUGCCCUCAAUGGGGAAAUUAGAUUGUUCCCACUUCUGAGGUCUAACGUUUAAAGUACAGUUUUCAGGGUUAUCACCCAUUGGUUGUUUUUUCCUCAGAGACAAACACUAUCUCCAAUGAUUGUGCUUCUCUGAAAGCAAAACCGGUUUAUAUCAGGAGUGUGCCAAUAACUGGCAAGAGUAGGUCAAAUACAACCUUAAAAAAAGAGGUGAAUUUGAUGAUUCUUUUUGUUUAUUUAAAGAGUAAUUAAUCAUUUUCCCUUAUUUUCACUCUUGCCUAAUCUUGAUCUCCUGAUUUUAUGUAAAUUACCUCCAAGUUUUCUAAAGCAGAGUGGCCUUUUCUGGCUUGGGCAGAAACAGCCAGCUGAGUGCCUGGCCAUACUAGAAGUUUAAUAAGUGGUUGCUGGUAUGCUCCCUUUUGCCUCUCCUUUUUCUGAGCAGCACCUUCGGUGUCAUUCCUUCUCUGUGGUACAUCAACAUUGAAAUGGAUUCAGAAAUAGCUUUGCAGGAAAUUUUUGAGGGGAAAAAAAUUCUUAGUAUGGUGAUCAGGCAGAAGCCUGUAAUAGAUUUGGCUAGAGGCUGAGUUAACUAUAAGAGAAUUACAUAAAAAAUUAGUGUUUCUUUUGAAGCACAUUUUUAUCCUAAGACAUCAAAAGCCUUUCUUUGUCAUUUUUUCCAAGAUCACAGUUGAAUUCUCCUCAUCUAUAGUUGAAUUAUACUCAGCAGAGAAUGCUGAACCAAACUGCGGAAAGUCGGUGUAGGCGCUCUUGAUGGUGGAAAUAGAGAGAGAAGAAUUAGAGCUUUGAAAGAAGGCAGUGAUGACUGGCUUGACAAGAAAGGGGAUAUGUGGAAAAGUCACAGUAGAAUGACCAAAUUGGAUCUAAUGUGAGAGAAGCAUGACAUCUGCAAAGACUUUCUGAUACUGGCCUUGGAAGAUUGCAUGGAUUCUGGUGUCUCAAACAGAGAUAUAAGAUAAGAAUGACUCUACAGCAUGGCUGACAAGUGGAGUAGGUCUGUGCCUGGGAUCCGAACCUGAGAAGCUGGGCUGCCAAAGCAGAGUGCACGGAACUUUAACCACUCCGCCACAGGGUUAUUGGUUUGUCUCCUCAUCCACAGCAGAGUUCAAAAUGAGCACAGCUUCCCCACAGAGCAAGUGCUAUGAGCAAUGUACCAGAUCAUCUGCUUCAAGGUCUUCUUUCUACUACCAGGUGUGUUGCUCAACAUGAGGCCAAGAGUGCAGACUAUUUGCACUGAGAAAAGACAGCAGAGAAGCCUGAAAUAUGAGCGUGUGGUAUGACUAUCAGUCAGCUCUCACUGUGGUUGCAUCCAGUUCUCUUCUGCAUGAUUUACCUUCUUCAAACUCAGAAGAAAAGGGUCAUUUUCUUUUUCUCUACUUUAAAUCCCGUCACCUCAUUACAUUUUCUAAAUGCCAAAUUUACAAUAGGGCCAAGAUAAGCCUGCUAAACUUAUGUGGCUUAGAAUUCCAGAACAUGUGCCACAGUACAGACCUUUAAAGAAUAAUUAGUGUAUGCGAAACAGAGUGAUGAAAAUUGGCAAAUAAUUCCAAUUCACAACCUCGCUUAUUUUAAAUACUUGUUUUGAAUUUGCCAUGAAGUUCAGAGGAAUGGGACAUUCUAGCACCAGGCCAUGUCCACAAAAUCUAACGUUACAUUUUCACAAUCAACCUACUGCC
Equus caballus (horse) is the source of this 1930-nucleotide long non-coding RNA. Lineage: Eukaryota; Metazoa; Chordata; Mammalia; Perissodactyla; Equidae. The record is from Ensembl.